Molecule: ribosomal RNA, 252 nt
Filed under: uncultured bacterium
Lineage: Bacteria
Description: partial 16S ribosomal RNA
Rfam family: Bacterial small subunit ribosomal RNA
Source: RNAcentral
CACGUAUGGGGCGAGCGUUGUUCGGAAUUAUUGGGCGUAAAGGGCGCGUAGGCGGUUACGCAAGCCUGGUGUGAAAAACUGCAGCUCAACUGCAGGGCCGCACUGGGAACUGUGUGACUUGAGUUCAAGAGGGGGAGUUGGAAUUCCUGGUGUAGGGUGAAAUCUGUAGAGAUCAGGAAGAACAUCAGUGGCGAAGGCGAACUCCUGGCUAUGAACUGACGCUGAGGCGCGAAAGCGUGGGGAGCAAACAGG